GAUCGCCGGCGAAGAGAUCUUUCGGUGGCCCUCCGGCGGGCCCCGGAGGCUGAAGAACGGGGGAUUCCUUCUUCCAAAUGUGGCCGGAGAUCGGUGGAGGAGAGGGAAUUUGAGGUAGUUUCCCCCUAGAGGAGCAGAGGUGCUUCUGCUGGUGGUUGUCCCCCUUCCAACGGCGAAGCUCACCUGUCCUCCACCGCCGCCGCUGGUGUGUGGAGCCGGGGAGGGACAGGACGGGCCGUCGGUUACUGCCCCUGUCAGGUGGGAUAUUGUUAACAUGAAAUACGGCCUUCUUAAAGUCAUCGCUUUACAUUGAAUUGGCCACUGUCCGCCAGAUUGGAUGUGAGUAAGCCAAUCUUCCUCUCUUUGAAAGAAGAGAUGCUUCCAUUUCUGCUUGUGUUUCUGUCAAUUUUUUUCUUCUCCAUAUUUUCCUAUCAUUUGGAUUAAUAAUUUUUUGUGAGGAACUGCUUAACUACUGAUGACGCUGAUUUCCUGACUUGAAUGCGGAACUUAGGAAUCCAGUGUGUGUUGUCUUGUUGUCAACAGGAAGUUUCAAUCCUCCUACUUAUAUGCACUUGCGAAUGUUUAGUACGUUCAAAUGUAUUAUUUAUAUUUUUUGUCUAUUACAAAAUUGCCUGAUUAUGAGGAACACAUUGACGGGGUGAGAUAGAUAUGUACCGCUUAAGUUGGACAACAUGAGAUACAUUCUCAAGAAAACUUCACGUGCGGUGCAUUGUUGCGUGUCGUGCUGUAUGAUGUCCUUUUCAGUGGUUGGAUAGUUAGAGCCGAAAAGAGGUUUACGAUUCUCCAGCUAGUUGAGAUUCCUGGGGGAGGUGGAGGUGGGUCCAUUGCAUUCUUGAAAGAGCGAACAAGGUCUAGAAGUCUUGUUGUACCAUUCGGGAAGACUGCUUGAAAUUAAAGCUUCUCCAGAGAUGUCUGAAGGAAAGUUUCCUGCAUCAUGUCCAUUUGAAUAAUUCCACUCAUGUUUCUGCAGUUGUGAUAGUGAUCUGCAUGUUCCCAUCAGUUAAUGUAUUGUAAAGUGUAGUUAUGUCUGGGCGCUUAGUAAGUUUCUUCUAAUCAUUGAUAAGUCGCUGUUGUAAAUUUGUGAUACAACUGGAUUUUAUACUUGUUGGAGUUUCUUUAAUGAAAAAAUAACUGACAUUGAUUCAAAUUAUUAGCGUGGAUGCUCUGCAGUUUUUUUCACCAUGUUGUAGAUCGAACUAGAUUCGGUGCUGGAAAGGCCAGCCUUGUGCUCGUGGAGAAAACUCCAAGUUCAAACAGAAAGGACCUUUUCUCUCCUUCAAAGAAUUGUUUACGAUGUGGUGGGGGUUGGUUUGAUAUUUAUACCAGACCAUGGAAGGUUCCAGACACACAGGAAUAGGAGGCUGUGUCAACAUGACACAUGAGAAAGUGUAAGAAGAAAAAAAGGGUCUUCAGAAUGUGUUCACAGAGUCAUAAUUGUAUAGACACGUUCCUCAACAUAUAUCCGUGAUUUUCAGAACAUAACCAGCUAUCCUUGGGAUUAUGUCCAGUCAGCACACCCAUAUAUUGGUCACUCAAUUUAAAAAAGGUGAUGUUCAAUAUCAUGGCUGAGAAGAUAGAAAUGUUCUGACAAACAUAGCCAUUAUUACUAGAGAAUAGUAAUAAGUAAUAGCACAUAAUAGGGACCUUCACAACUUGAAGGUGCUUGCUGUGUUGCUUAUAACAGUGACCUUUCUUUAUUGAUUUUUAUGCCUGUUUAUCAUCUCAUUGCAGGAAACACUAGUCUAUUAAACAGCGUUUCAAAUUGAGACCUCAUCUUAAAAUUCAUGGCAGCUCCGUAUAUAAUAGUUAUAUAUAUUUAACUUUGCCAACUAAUUAAUGGCAACUUGUUUUCAUGUGCUUAUUGCAGAUGAUCAAAUCUAUUAGAAAACUUCCAUAGACGCAUUCGAUAUUUAUCGGUUCAUUCAUCUUUCCUUCAAGACUGGAAAUAAAUAGUUGUCAUUUUCAAGACUGAAAAUAUUCUUGAUAAUAUUUUGACGACAACUUUAUGACUGAAGGCAGAAAAGAACUAGGUACAUUCCUAAGAAAAAGUACAUGUCAAAGAAAAAGUGAGACCUUUCAUUUAAUUUAAUUCGUUCCAAUGCUGUAUUGGUCAGUUGCUGGUAUCUUGUGUCUUCUUGGCAUUCACUUCUCCCAUGUUAGUUUAUGUGUAAAUUAUAGAUAUCGAUUUUAUUUCUUACUUAUACAAUUUUAACAAAAGUUCCAAGUGAUUGUCCCUUUAAAGGUAAAACGAUUGUUGCUUCUGGACUGUUCAAAUAAAAUGGCAGUGAUCGUUUAGAUACGAAUAUAAGUGAAACAAACAAAGAUAUACUGAUCAGUUAUUUGUAUUUUUGUGCAGUGCAUGGUUAAGAUAACUUUUUGACAGAAUAGGGCCUUUUAAAAUUUAAUCAAAUAAACUAGCUUCCACAAAAGGCACUUUUUUGUGUAGUUAAAAGGGUACGAAGCCUACAAGCAUAGACCAAAUGCUCCUACUGCUCAAUUUAUGUUUCUAAGCUAAAAGGCAGUCACCUUUUCAUAAACUGUUAUAAUUAUAACAUAUUAAAGGGAAUGAAAUUCAUUAUUGUUUGGCCAUUGGCAGGCUCCACUGAUAAAGACUUGUGCUAAGUUUAGUUCUUUUUUUUCUUGUUUUCACUAGAAUUGGCAAGGGAUGCUCUAAAUUCAAAUGGGUGUUUUGCUGUUGGAGCCUACAUGUCUCCUGUGAAUGACUCAUACAAAAGGAAGGUACUCAUUCAUGUAAUAUUUAAUGAAUAUGCAUACAUGAAACAUUCAAAAAGCCUUAUACAUGGAUUUGGCUGAUAAAUAUAUUUUCUAUCCAUGUUUUCCAUGCUUAAGACGUGCAACAUCCAUUAUCCCAUGGGCAGUAAAGAUCCGUUCAACAUCCAUGUGCACAUGGCAUCAUAUUGCGAUUGCCUCGUUGUAGUUAAUGCCUUUAAGCUUUCUUGUAGCUAGAUAGAUCAUGAACUUCUGGUGUCCUAUUACUGCCUUAUAAUUACACUGUCAAAGAAUAAGGCUGGCCAAGUCAAAAUAGACUACUAUGAGCACAAGGACUGAAGUCCCCAAUUAUCUGUCAGGCCCAUAUCAACUAACGUCUACACUUAAUUCAAAUCUCUAAAACUAUCUUAUAUUCAUAAUUUUUUCAUGUUCACCACUUGAUUGGCCUAUAUAAUUUACUGCAUGAUUUUGUUUGUCCUAGUCGAAAGGAUAAAAGAAAAUUAUCACAUCAUGUAGGUUUUUGAUGUAAACUGGGAAAGAGAGAAAAUUGUAUUACAUCUGUAGUUUUUAUUUUUUGUAUUCGAAAGAGUUUUGGGUCAUAAUCUUUGAUAUUUCGAUUUUUUUUGGUAACUCUUAUUCCUUCUCAUUAGAGUUUUGCAAGUUCAUUUUCAUUUCUUAGGUGGUAUUCCCUCUCAGACCUUUUCUUUUUUCUGAACCUCCACAAUAUGUGUGCAUAUGGCCAUAAAGCCUUUGUUUUCAAGCCUAACUUUAUUUUAAAUCAAAUUAUCAAAAUUGGAAAUUUUGGAGUAUCUUCAUGUUGAUAACAUGAGGUAAGACUGUGUUUUGAGAGGUGUUGAAGUUCAGCUCUCAAAAUGUAUCAUUGUGUUGAAAACGAAAAUACCUUUGGAAGGACCUGUUGGGGCCUAGAAGAGAGAAAUCAUCUUCUUGGGGCCAUUGAGUUUUCCGUUGUUAAUUUGAGUUUAUGGUACACUUAUACGGAGAGCCUCCUGUAAGAGGAUAUAUGAUAGAACGCCCCUGUAGUUAUUUUUUUCUACACUUCCGACAGUUAGGAACUUGGAGCUGAGCCACAAUUGAAAAGCAGUAGUAGGAGCGAUGACGGGCUGAGUGGAUAAUUUUUUAAACUUGAAGUUCAAAUUUUGUCACGAAAGCAUGAAAAAGAACUUGGCGUGCCAUUUUAGUCAUGAAAGCAUAUAACAGCUGGGAGAUGCAGUAUUUUAACCAUUUUGUAAAACAAUGUGAUUAAACCACAGAUGGCAGAGGCAGUUUCGAUUGUAAGAACACUGAAAAAGAUGAUCCAUUAUUGUUCUUCUAUGAAUGGAGAAAGGCCUACUCAAAUAAUCCAAUCAAAUCGCCAAAAAAGCUGCUCAAUUAGCCAAAGGAAAUUACCAAGAAACUGUGAUGAUAUCAUAAAGCUUACCUACUCAAUCUAGUCAAAUGAAUGAGCUUGAUUAAGACUAUAUAUUAGAUCUUUUUAAGACCGUCUACUACUGGCGAAGCAUUAUGGCAUUGUGUCAAGUGCCUCAUUAGAGGAUUUGGGCCACAU
Molecule: long non-coding RNA, 4315 nt
Filed under: Spirodela polyrhiza (greater duckweed)
Lineage: Eukaryota; Viridiplantae; Streptophyta; Magnoliopsida; Alismatales; Araceae
Description: long non-coding RNA (SPOL_LNC000481)
Source: RNAcentral